RNAcentral lists this ribosomal RNA (254 nucleotides) under uncultured bacterium. RNAcentral describes it as "partial 16S ribosomal RNA". It matches the Rfam family "Bacterial small subunit ribosomal RNA", at positions 524 to 776 of the family's 1533-position model. The record is from RNAcentral.
UACGUAGGGGGCAAGCGUUGUCCGGAUUUAUUGGGCGUAAAGAGCUCGUAGGUGGUUCGGUAAGUCGGAUGUGAAAUCUCCAGGCUUAACCUGGAGGGGUCAUUCGAUACUGCCGUGACUAGAGGUCGGUAGGGGAGUGUGGAAUUCCUGGUGGAGCGGUGAAAUGCGCAGAUAUCAUGAGGAAGACCAGUGGCGAAGGCGGGUCUCUGGACAGUUCCUGACACUGAGGCACGAAGGCCAGGGGAGCAAACGGG